This 1392-nucleotide long non-coding RNA is filed under the name Anas platyrhynchos platyrhynchos (common mallard). RNAcentral describes it as "lncRNA (ENSAPLG00000017620.1)". Lineage: Eukaryota; Metazoa; Chordata; Aves; Anseriformes; Anatidae. The record is from RNAcentral.
GAAAAGCCUUCAGUUCAGCUGUGUAUGUUGUUUUUAAUGCACCAGUGGAAGAGCAGGCGUACCAGGGUCUAUGAGAGAUUUCUGCUUGGUCUUUGAAGGGCAGAAGAAUAUUAAGUAAGGUAAAGCUGCUUCUAAUAACAGGUGCAUGUGGAGGAACAGAGGCCAAAGUAAGCAAGCUCUGUCCUAGAGACCUGAGAAGACCCAAUAAGAGAACUAUCAGGGAAGCUGGGAAACACAAGGAGAAAAGGGAGAGACUGCUGGUGACAAUUUUAGCAUCGAUCAGUUCAAACUCCCUAAAGAACUUACAUUACAUCUGUCUUUUGUUUUCCAAUAACAGUGUGCUAGGACCACUCCUUAUUAUGCAGCUAUUAUUAUGCAGUGCAAGUAUAUAAAAAAAAAUACAGUGCAUCUAAUAGAAUAUAUAUAUAUAUAUUGUCACUGAUAUGCAUUAUUUCCCUUUCUUCCAUUCCCUAGCCCUUGUGGAUGUAAUUAGCAAUUAGACUUCAUAAACUGAGAGGAGGCUGAGGAAUAUGCCAUUUCUCUGAUUUUGGCAGAGAAAGGUUCUAAUCAUUUGAGUAACUGAGGAAGUAGUUAGGAGGGAUGGCCAGGUUUUGUAGAGAAGGUGAGAAGUCAUCCCCAGACUUGCUGUGAAUGUUAAUGAUUGUUAAAAGAGAGGAUCAGCUGCACCUGUUCACAGCAAUGUAAGGACUGCUGCCAGUCAAAGACUUUCCAUUGGUCUUUUGCUUGUCAUACUGUUGGGGUGCUAUCUAUGGUCAAUUCAGAGAGUUGGCUUUUAGAUAAGUGGUUCUGUUCAAGCCUUUAGCUUAUCGAUAUCGUUAUUUGUAUACUGUUGACUCUUUGGUAUAGGUAACUGACUUCUGAACUGUAUAUAUAAAUAUAUAUAUAUUUAUUUAGAGGAGCAUCUAUGCUACCUGGAUAUCACUGAUUGUGCAGAUUAUUAGAUAAGUUAAGCAAUCAAAGUUAAUAAGCACUGCUUGUAUUAUGCAAGGUUGUUUGGCCAAAUUAGUAUCAGCGCUAACCUAUCUGGGCUGUGUAAAGCAGGGGAGGAGCCUUAGCUCCAUGAAAGUGCUUGUAGGUCCUUGAUACACAAAUGUACUCUGACUUUUAAGUACUUCCCACAAUUGUUAUGGCUGUCUUCAUUAAUGUGGUAUCUGUCCUUUCUUCUGGAUCCCUAAAAAGGAAGCCCUUCCAAGCCUGAGUUUUACAUUGUUUAUAACCUCUUUUUUUUCAGUGAAUACCAGAGAAAGAAACACAAAAUUUGAGCCAAUGGUACUAGAGAAGGCUGGAAGCAGAUGAUUAUUUAGAACUACUGGCAGCUGGAUAGUAAAAAAUACAUUCAUGCUAGCCAGAGUAGAAUCUCCUUAAAAAUUG